RNAcentral lists this ribosomal RNA (844 nucleotides) under uncultured bacterium. RNAcentral's name for it is "bacterial SSU rRNA". It matches the Rfam family "Bacterial small subunit ribosomal RNA", at positions 57 to 919 of the family's 1533-position model. The record is from RNAcentral.
GCAAGUCGAGCGAGUGGAGUUCUUCGGAACAAAGCUAGCGGCGGACGGCUGAGUAACACGUGGGCAACCUGCCUCAUAGAGGGGAAUAGCCUCCCGAAAGGGAGAUUAAUACCGCAUAAGAUUGUAGCUUCGCAUGAAGUAGCAAUUAAAGGAGCAAUCCGCUAUGAGAUGGGCCCGCGGCGCAUUAGCUAGUUGGUGAGGUAACGGCUCACCAAGGCGACGAUGCGUAGCCGACCUGAGAGGGUGAUCGGCCACAUUGGGACUGAGACACGGCCCAGACUCCUACGGGAGGCAGCAGUGGGGAAUAUUGCACAAUGGGGGAAACCCUGAUGCAGCAAUGCCGCGUGAGUGAUGACGGCCUUCGGGUUGUAAGGCUCUGUCUUCGGGGACGAUAAUGACGGUACCCGAGGAGGAAGCCACGGCUAACUACGUGCCAGCAGCCGCGGUAAUACGUAGGUGGCAAGCGUUGUCCGGAUUUACUGGGCGUAAAGGGAGCGUAGGCGGAUUUUUAAGUGAGAUGUGAAAUACCCGGGCUUAACUUGGGUGCUGCAUUUCAAACUGGAAGUCUAGAGUGCAGGAGAGGAGAAGGGAAUUCCUAGUGUAGCGGUGAAAUGCGUAGAGAUUAGGAAGAACACCAGUGGCGAAGGCGCUUCUCUGGACUGUAACUGACGCUGAGGCUCGAAAGCGUGGGGAGCAAACAGGAUUAGAUACCCCGGUAGUCCACGCCGUANACGAUGAAUACUAGGUGUAGNGGUUGUCAUGACCUCUGUGCCGCCGCUAACGCAUUAAGUAUUCCGCCUGGGGAGUACGGUCGCAAGAUUAAACUCAAAGGAAUUGACGGGGG